RNAcentral lists this transfer RNA (66 nucleotides) under Gramastacus lacus. Its description in RNAcentral is "tRNA-Leu". Lineage: Eukaryota; Metazoa; Arthropoda; Malacostraca; Decapoda; Parastacidae. The record is from RNAcentral.
UUACUUGAGCAAGAUGGUGCAUUAGAUUUAGGAUCUAAUUAAAUAGGAGUGUCCUAUAGGUAAAAG